Molecule: ribosomal RNA, 257 nt
Filed under: uncultured bacterium
Lineage: Bacteria
Description: partial 16S ribosomal RNA
Rfam family: Bacterial small subunit ribosomal RNA
Source: RNAcentral
GACAGAGGGUGCAAACGUUGCUCGGAAUCACUGGGCGUAAAGGGCGUGUAGGCGGGAAGGAAAGUCAGAUGUGAAAUCCCUGGGCUCAACCCAGGAACUGCAUUUGAAACUCCCUUUCUUGAGUACCGGAGAGGAAAGUGGAAUUCCUGGUGUAGAGGUGAAAUUCGUAGAUAUCAGGAGGAACACCAGUGGCGAAGGCGGCUUUCUGGACGGUAACUGACGCUGGAGAACGCGGAAAGCCGUGGGGAGCAAACAGG